GAGUAACACGUGAGCAACCUGCCCUGGACUCUGGGAUAAGCGCUGGAAACGGCGUCUAAUACUGGAUAUGAGACGUGAUCGCAUGGUCGUGUUUGGAAAGAUUUUUCGGUCUGGGAUGGGCUCGCGGCCUAUCAGCUUGUUGGUGAGGUAAUGGCUCACCAAGGCGUCGACGGGUAGCCGGCCUGAGAGGGUGACCGGCCACACUGGGACUGAGACACGGCCCAGACUCCUACGGGAGGCAGCAGUGGGGAAUAUUGCACAAUGGGCGGAAGCCUGAUGCAGCAACGCCGCGUGAGGGAUGACGGCCUUCGGGUUGUAAACCUCUUUUAGCAGGGAAGAAGCGAAAGUGACGGUACCUGCAGAAAAAGCGCCGGCUAACUACGUGCCAGCAGCCGCGGUAAUACGUAGGGCGCAAGCGUUAUCCGGAAUUAUUGGGCGUAAAGAGCUCGUAGGCGGUUUGUCGCGUCUGCUGUGAAAUCCCGAGGCUCAACCUCGGGUCUGCAGUGGGUACGGGCAGACUAGAGUGCGGUAGGGGAGAUUGGAAUUCCUGGUGUAGCGGUGGAAUGCGCAGAUAUCAGGAGGAACACCGAUGGCGAAGGCAGAUCUCUGGGCCGUAACUGACGCUGAGGAGCGAAAGGGUGGGGAGCAAACAGGCUUAGAUACCCUGGUAGUCCACCCCGU
RNAcentral lists this ribosomal RNA (681 nucleotides) under Microbacterium sp. RNAcentral's name for it is "bacterial SSU rRNA". It matches the Rfam family "Bacterial small subunit ribosomal RNA", at positions 108 to 803 of the family's 1533-position model. Lineage: Bacteria; Bacillati; Actinomycetota; Actinomycetes; Micrococcales; Microbacteriaceae. The record is from RNAcentral.